GUAUCCUAACCGUGCGAAGGUAGCGUAAUCAUUUGUCCUUUAAAUGAGGACUGGUAUGAACGGCUUCACGAAGGCUGCACUGUCUCCUUUUUCUAAUCAGUUAAACUAAUCUCCCCGUGAAGAAGCGGGGAUUAAUCUAUAAGACGAGAAGACCCUAUGGAGCUUUAAACAAUUGUAAACACUUGCAUUUAAAUUUUUUUAACCACAUUAAGUCAAGCAUUAUGUUUCUAGUUUUAGGUUGGGGUGACCAUGGAGAAAAACCUAUCCUCCAUGUUGAAAGAAAUUUUAUUUCUUAGCAAAAAGUUACAUCUUAAUGCAUCAACAAAUUGACCCUAAUUGACCCAAUAAUUUGAUCAACGAACCAAGUUACCCUAGGGAUAACAGCGCAAUCCACUUCAAGAGCUCUUAUCGACAAGUGGGUUUACGACCUCGAUGUUGGAUCAGGGUGUCCAAGUGGUGCAGCCGCUA
This 468-nucleotide ribosomal RNA is filed under the name Mannophryne riveroi (Rivero's poison frog). RNAcentral describes it as "partial 16S ribosomal RNA". It matches the Rfam family "Bacterial large subunit ribosomal RNA", at positions 1936 to 2564 of the family's 2925-position model. Lineage: Eukaryota; Metazoa; Chordata; Amphibia; Anura; Aromobatidae. The record is from RNAcentral.